Molecule: unclassified non-coding RNA, 254 nt
Filed under: Geminibasidium sp.
Lineage: Eukaryota; Fungi; Basidiomycota; Geminibasidiomycetes; Geminibasidiales; Geminibasidiaceae
Description: partial internal transcribed spacer region
Rfam family: Eukaryotic small subunit ribosomal RNA (bases 1-46)
Source: RNAcentral
AAGUCGUAACAAGGUUUCCGUAGGUGAACCUGCGGAAGGAUCAUUAGUGAAUUUGUAGCCUCCAAGGCUCACAUUCUCUAUCCUUUUCACACCUGUGCACCCUUCUGAAGCGGAGAGUUAUUAGGCGUUAGCCGAGCGCCUCCCUUCGGUUAUUAUGUCAAACUCUUAACUACGUUUACUAGAAUGUGUUAUCGUCUUGUUGUAACGACAAGUACAAUCCAGUAAAACUUUCAGCAACGGAUCUCUUGGCUCAG